GAAACAACUUAAAACCGAUCAGAUGUCUGUUAGAAGCGUGAGCAUUGCUGGAGGAGAAAUUGCGAAGUCAUUUGCCCGUCAUCAGCUGAAUUCUGAACUCCCUUCGUCUCCAUCCAGACAAAAACCGAGCCAUCCAUCAGGCUACCACUCUCCAACAACCCCUUCCAAGCCAACCACUUCAGUAGCAGCAGCCAGAAAACUGAAACCAGCAAGCCCGAGAAUUAGUGCAAUGAACCAAGAUGAUGAUAACCGAAGCAUGCUUAGCGUGCAGUCAGAACGGAACAGGAGGCAUAGCAUAGCAGGAUCAUCUAUAAGAGACGACGAGAGCCUGGCAAGCUCGCCUUCAGUCCCAAGUUACAUGGCGUCCACUCAGUCUGCGAAGGCCAAAACACGGUUGCAAAGUCCAUUAGGCAUGGAAAAUGGCAAACCAGAAAAAGGAUCAGCAGGGUCUGUGAAGAAGCGGCUCUCUUAUCCACCGUCACCUGCCAGAACAAGGCGGCAUUCAGGCCCACCAAAGUUUGACAACACCUCUUUGAACACCUCCAUCGCCGAGGAUCAUGUGAAUGGAGUCGUCAACUAAUUAUUCUUGUCACAAACAAUAAGCAAUCCUGCCACCCUUCUGGCUUAUAGGUACGCGUUUAAAAUGCCCCUCUCUGCGCGAUAUCAACUACUUUGAUUUGCUGCACUUGAGUCGAAUGUCCUUCAGAAACAGUCUCUCCACUUGUGGGAUUUCACUAGAAACUCUGGAGUGAAUAUAGUAAUGCAGACAAUGUGAUUGGAACAUGCACUCGCGUACGAUGACUAAGUCUCAAUUCCUAAUAAGUCAGGGUCGAUUAUAUGAAUCUUUACGAAAAAAUACACAUGAAGUGUAAA
RNAcentral lists this unclassified non-coding RNA (873 nucleotides) under Hevea brasiliensis (rubber tree). Lineage: Eukaryota; Viridiplantae; Streptophyta; Magnoliopsida; Malpighiales; Euphorbiaceae. The record is from RNAcentral.